RNAcentral lists this ribosomal RNA (514 nucleotides) under uncultured bacterium. RNAcentral describes it as "bacterial SSU rRNA". It matches the Rfam family "Bacterial small subunit ribosomal RNA", at positions 791 to 1308 of the family's 1533-position model. The record is from RNAcentral.
UAGUCCACGCCGUAAACGAUGGAUACUAGCUGUCCGGGGCCUUGAGUCCUGGGCGGCCAAGCGAAAGUGAUAAGUAUCCCACCUGGGGAGUACGUUCGCAAGAAUGAAACUCAAAGGAAUUGACGGGGGCCCGCACAAGCGGUGGAGCAUGUGGUUUAAUUCGAUGAUACGCGAGGAACCUUACCAGGGCUUAAAUGCAUAUUGACAGGUCUAGAGAUAGACUUUCCUUCGGGCAAUUUGCAAGGUGCUGCAUGGUUGUCGUCAGCUCGUGCCGUGAGGUGUCAGGUUAAGUCCCUGAACGAGCGAAACCCUUGCCGCUAGUUGCCAGCACUUAAGGUGGGGACUCUAGCGGGACUGCCGUUGUCAAAACGGAGGAAGGUGGGGAUGACGUCAAGUCAUCAUGGCCUUUAUGUCCUGGGCUACACACGUGCCACAAUGGUCGGGAUAGAACGAAGCAAAAUCGCGAGAUGGAGCAAAUCGCUUAAACCCGGCCCCAGUUCGGAUUGGAGGCUGC